Molecule: long non-coding RNA, 3216 nt
Organism: Aquila chrysaetos chrysaetos
Lineage: Eukaryota; Metazoa; Chordata; Aves; Accipitriformes; Accipitridae
Exons: 5
Source: RefSeq, a predicted model, not a curated record
AAAACUACAACAAAGUUUACCAAGUCUGCUUUGUGAUCUCAGUUUAAGAAGGGAAAGGAUGUUUUCAGUUUUUUGGGGGGUUGGUUUUUUUUUUUUCUUUAUCUAGAAACGUCUUUGUAUGAAAAGACUUCUGAUAACAGCACUUGAUGUAGCAGGGCAAGGUAUUGCAAGAGUCAGAGAAGGGGGUUGAAUUAGACAAACCUCUGCUAGGAACAAGUCCUUCAGAUAGUUGUUACACCUGUAUGUCUUGCCUUGAAACGCACCGGACCCAAGGUUACUUUCUGAAGAGCUGCUAUAAUCCCACCAAGCUUCAUAGAUUAGUGCCCUGGGGUGAAAUGUUCUGGCCUGUCUUCUGCCAGGAGUGAAACCACAGGUUCAUAAUGAGUCAUCUUAGCAUUACAAUUCGAUGAACUUGAAUACUGGCUGACUGAAAAUACUGCUUUUUGUGUGUUAAUUUUUUUUUUUUUUCUUUCACCAGGCUAGGUGCAUUCUGUGUACAGGUGACAACACUAAACUUUUUCUGCUGGUAAAAGUUUUCCACACAUGGUUUUAUUUUUAUUUUCUUUUAGACAACUAAUGUGGCUUAUACAUCCUAUAUGAGCCACUGGCAUCUGCAAACAAUUGCAGCUAAUAUAUGUAUUUUUUACUUUUUAGUUCUGCUUUGCAUUGCAUACUGUACCAACCAGCGAGCAUCCAUCUUGGGCAGUCUCAAUGGAUUCUUCACCUAUGUUGAACCCCUUCUGUCUGCAUGUACGGGGUCUUUGCAGAAGUGAGCUGAGACCUGGGUACUUUAUUCCAGGCUUUUCUCAUCUGCAAGAAGAGGGUCGUCCAAGCUUUUGGAGUAACUGUUGAGAGCUGGCAAUGAUGUCGGUAUAGGUCUUCUGGUUUCUUGUACUAGGAGACCCGGCAUAAGCUGAGUGUCCCUUCCCCAGGACCAUUUUCUGUCUCCAUUAAACUCUUCCCUGCUCUCUUGAUGCAGUUUUUAAUUUCAGUUACUGCAGCCCAGCGUGUCUGGAGUGGGAUGAGACUUGAGUACAUCCCUCCACCUCGCUUGUUGGUGGCUUGUCUUGGGCCCUGUUUCUGGAAUGAUUCACUUCAGAGUCACAUUUCAGUAACGCUGAAGUUUGUCAGGACGAAUAUUGGUUGCAGUAAAUGAAGGGGAUGAGCAGUCACUCUACACGGUCCUGCCUCCCCUUCAUUAUUAACACCCCCUCAAGGACUGUCAGGACAACUCUUGUCAUUUUGCUCCUGCUUUUAUCACAGCAGAGGCUUCCUAUCAAGACUGAAAUGUAUCUUCAGCAUCACUUACGUUCGCGCAAGGAUUAUAAGUUCCUUAAUAAAAUGAAAGCAGGACUUUAGAUUUAUUCUCAUUCUGCUUUAUAUUACACUGCUGUUGAAAUGCUGCAAGUACUUGUUCAUAGGGUGAACAUCCAGCAAGGCCAUACUGCACGCUCAUGGAUGACAGGCUACAUCUGAAUAGUGAGUUACCUCUGCAAAAAGUGGACAAUCCUUGAGCACUGAUGACCCAGUGAAACCUCUCCUGUAAUGAGACUUCUCAUGGCAGAUCAGCCAGGCCGUCUGCAGCAUCCUGACAUGAGUUUUGGCUUGCUGAUAGCUACAGUCACUCAAAUGGGAAUUCCCUGGUUGCGGUCCCAGCUGGAACUGGUGCUAUGCUUGGAUGCUGCUGAAACCUGUAACGCUGGCGCUACUGUACUUGGUACGCUCAGAGCCGUGCUUGAAUGAAGCAGCAAAAGCAGAGAACAAGAGCUGCUUUGUUACGGGAGCCGCUGGGCCACUGCCUCUCCCUUGGCAGCACAGAGAGGACCGGGAUCCUGCCUGGAGGUCUGGGAGGACUGACCCUGCCCCCCAAGAAAGGUCCCUUCAGCUCCUCCGCUACAGAAACAAGUGACAAACUUCGGAAAGGACACCGGUGAUACUGGACUUCUUCCAGAGUUGGCCCAGGUGAGAGAUUCCAUGACACUGAAAGCACAGCGAUGAUCACACAGCCAUGUCGCAGCAGUACGUGCCAGAGCCUGAGGCUGUCAGGACACAGCUUGGAGACGCAUGGGAUGCCAAGCAGAGGAAACUGACGCACAGCCGGCUGAAGAACUGCCCUGUCCUAAACUCAUCUGAAGGAAAGGAAACUGAAGAAGAAAAUCUGACUUGUGGAGCUGUUCAGCACAGAAUAUUCUUGCAGAGAUCAACAAACUGAAGAAAUUCAGUGCCUAAGAAACCAAGGGAUUGGAACUUUGUUAAAGAUCUCAAGAAAAAGAUUUGCACAUAUAUUAACAGAAUGCAGACAUCCUUGUUCUUGGCCUUAAACUUUUAAUGGCAAUUAUCCUUCCAUGCAUAAGAAAGGUUGGAUGACUCCUUCAUUUUCAGAGGAAGUAGCAAAAUAAGAAAUUUUCCAGGUGAUUAUUUCACUGUACCCUAUUCGCAAAAUGAAUGCAAGAUAAUUUGUGAAGUCUGCAACCUUAGAUAGUGAUCUAAGUUCAGUUCCUGGUAUGUUUGUUCUCAGCACAGAUGCUGAAAACGGAACUGAUUAAAAACAACACAAAACCCAACCACCAAACCCCCAAUGCCCCCAGUGAAUGCUGUAAAACAGAUUUAUUUGCUUUUAUCUCCUAGCAGUAAGCCUAAUGAUCAAGUUUGAUUGAAAGGUAGACAUACAGUUUUAAAACUAUGAUAUACAUGGAAGUACACAGGUAACAAAUAGUAAUUAAAACCCCCAACUAUUAAAGACCUCAUUAGAUGCCCAAAACCAAGAAACUCACGAUCACUAACAAAAACAUCAGAAAAUUCUGCUGUUUGUGGAGACAGUAUCAUCACCUGUAAGUUUUCCAGCACUUAAAUGACCAUUGGUCUCUUGUUUAAUGAGCAUUUCUGGACACAUCCUUGCAUCUACACCUUUCAACUUUUUUUUGAUAUUUGAUAUAUUUGAUACUACAUGUGCAAUCAGUAUGUAGGACUACACUCUUAACACGGCUAUUAGUUGCAAUAACUAAUGGGAACUCUUUUCAGCUGCACCCACAAGUCAGGUAAGUGUCUAACUGCUUGCAAAUCUGCCCUGAAUUGACAAGAAUAGGUUGGCAACUGACAAAAACCAAGUUCUAGUAUAAACCAGAACAUAUGAUGAUUAUGGUUUAUCUUGUGAAAUCGGACCUCUGAGAUGCACUUCUGUUCUAUUGUUACACAAAUAAACUCUGAUGGAAAGCA